Molecule: small RNA, 591 nt
Filed under: Pan troglodytes (chimpanzee)
Lineage: Eukaryota; Metazoa; Chordata; Mammalia; Primates; Hominidae
Description: retained intron
Source: RNAcentral
ACUUGGUGACUUUUUAUGAUUGCUUUCUGCUCGUCUGAAUAAAGGAUGAGCCCAGGGCCUGCUGCCCACUGUCUGCUCUGAUGACCCUCUCUCCCCUGCAGAUCCGAGUGAUGGUGGACCUGUGCAACAGCACCAAGGGCAUCUGUCUCACAGGACCUCCGGGAGCCGGCGGGUUGCCAGGACACAAUGGAUUGGAUGGACAGCCUGGUCCUCAGGGCCCAAAAGGAGAAAAAGGAGCAAAUGGAAAAAGAGGAAAAAUGGGUAUUUUUGGCAACUCUUCUAAUUAAUUUCCCUGUUAUUUAUCUCCAUGAUUGCAUUUGGGUUGACUAAAACUGUGUGCAGCAGGGGUAAGGUGUUUCAUCUCUGCACAGUUUAAGGCCGGUUUAACUCUUACAUAGAAGCUAUUGUGUUCUGGGAUACCAAGGGUAUACUUCUUGGUCCCACCUUGACAGAUGUUUAUUUCAAACUGGAGAAGCCGUCUCCUGGGAACUGACUCCCACCCUUCUGCUGCAGAUGGGAGGUGGAAGGAGCAGGAGCCCACAGCCCUGGGAGGGGCAUUCUGUGGGCCGUGUGACAGCUGGUGCUGGUGCA